CCUACGGGAGGCAGCAGUAGGGAAUCUUCCACAAUGGACGCAAGUCUGAUGGAGCGACACCGCGUGAGUGAAGAAGGGUUUCGGCUCGUAAAACUCUGUUGUUGAAGAAGAACGUGCGUGAGAGUAACUGUUCACGCAGUGACGGUAUUCAACCAGAAAGUCACGGCUAAAUUCUGCCAGCAGCCGCGGUAAU
RNAcentral lists this ribosomal RNA (193 nucleotides) under uncultured Lactobacillus sp. RNAcentral's name for it is "partial 16S ribosomal RNA". It matches the Rfam family "Bacterial small subunit ribosomal RNA", at positions 338 to 524 of the family's 1533-position model. The record is from RNAcentral. Lineage: Bacteria; Bacillati; Bacillota; Bacilli; Lactobacillales; Lactobacillaceae.